GACGAACGCUGGCGGCGUGCUUAACACAUGCAAGUCGAACGGUGAAGCGCCUUCCUUUUUGGUGGGUGUGGAUGAGUGGCGAACGAGUGAGUAACACGUGAGUAACCUGCCCCCUUCUUCUGGAUAACCGCAUGAAAGUGUGGCUAAUACGGGAUAUUCUGGGUCUGUCGCAUGAUGGGUCUGGGAAAGAUAUUGUUUCGGUGGGGGAUGGGCUCGCGGCCUAUCAGCUUGUUGGUGGGGUGAUGGCCUACCAAGGCGGUGACGGGUAGCCGGCCUGAGAGGGUGGACGGUCACACUGGGACUGAGACACGGCCCAGACUCCUACGGGAGGCAGCAGUGGGGAAUAUUGCACAAUGGGCGCAAGCCUGAUGCAGCGACGCCGCGUGAGGGAUGGAGGCCUUCGGGUUGUGAACCUCUUUCGCCAGUGAAGCAGGCCUGCCUCGUUUGUGGGUGGGUUGACGGUAGCUGGAUAAGAAGCGCCGGCUAACUACGUG
Molecule: ribosomal RNA, 494 nt
Filed under: uncultured bacterium
Lineage: Bacteria
Description: partial 16S ribosomal RNA
Rfam family: Bacterial small subunit ribosomal RNA
Source: RNAcentral